Pseudopipra pipra is the source of this 536-nucleotide long non-coding RNA. RefSeq lists it as uncharacterized. Lineage: Eukaryota; Metazoa; Chordata; Aves; Passeriformes; Pipridae. The record is from RefSeq and is a predicted model, not a curated record. The transcript has 4 exons.
CCUCUCCCGCGGCCAUCGGCGACUGCAGGCAGGGGAAGCGACAGGCAAGUUUCUCGCCUCUGCGGAGAAACUUGCACCUGCGUGCCGCCGCAGGGCCGGGUUCGGAUGUGCCCUGGCAUUGCACACGCACCACACCCCCCCGCGGGGAGGGUGUGCGCUGCCUCGGGGACCCUGUGUGUGCUGCCGGGAGAGAGAAAUCCUUUGGGAAGCUGGGCUGGAAACAGCAACUCUGUGAACUGCUCAGCUUUUCCUAGGUGACGAAGCUUAUGGAAAAAAAGACCAAAGGCCUCGAGGGAUGUUCUUCUUGACCCCCCGGGGCAAACGGAGGUGUCAGCGUCAGGAGCCAUCCUACCUGAGGCCCCGGUAGGCUCCCUGUUUCCCUUUGGUCGCCGUGGGUGUGCCGGACGCCUCUGGCAGGACUAACCCUGUGGCUUUUAUGUCCAACGUGCUGUGCUGUGUGUGCCUGCAGGUAAGAAAAGCUGGGAGUGCAGUCCCUCUGCUUUGAUUGCUGUGUCUCUUUGGGAGUUCUUUCGGAG